GUAGGUGGCAAGCGUUGUCCGGAAUUAUUGGGGCGUAAAGCGCGCGCAGGCGGUUCUUUAAGUCUGAUGUGAAAGCCCACGGGCUCAACCGUGGAGGGUCAUUGGAAACUGGAGAACUUGAGUACAGAAGAGGAAAGCGGGAUUCCACGUGUAGCGGUGAAAUGCGUAGAGAUGUGGAGGAACACCAGUGGCGAAGGCGGCUUUCUGGUCUGUAACUGACGCUGAGGCGCGAAAGCGUGGGGAGCAAACAGGAUUAGAUACCCUGGUAGUCCACGCCGUAAACGAUGAGUGCUAAGUGUUAGGGGGUUUCCGCCCCUUAGUGCUGCAGCUAACGCAUUAAGCACUCCGCCUGGGGAGUACGGCCGCAAAGGCUG
RNAcentral lists this ribosomal RNA (374 nucleotides) under uncultured organism. RNAcentral's name for it is "partial 16S ribosomal RNA". It matches the Rfam family "Bacterial small subunit ribosomal RNA", at positions 527 to 896 of the family's 1533-position model. The record is from RNAcentral.